CAGAUAAGGAUGAAGUGCUAGUAUUUUAAUCCAACACUUGAACUGAGGAUCUAAAAGUUCCAAGUGAUGUUUUUUUUUUUUCCCUUUUGCUUCUGA
Elaeis guineensis (African oil palm) is the source of this 96-nucleotide small nucleolar RNA. RefSeq annotates it as small nucleolar RNA snoR31. Lineage: Eukaryota; Viridiplantae; Streptophyta; Magnoliopsida; Arecales; Arecaceae. The record is from RefSeq and is a predicted model, not a curated record.